Molecule: ribosomal RNA, 492 nt
Filed under: uncultured bacterium
Lineage: Bacteria
Description: partial 16S ribosomal RNA
Rfam family: Bacterial small subunit ribosomal RNA
Source: RNAcentral
GACGAACGCUGGCGGCGCGCUUAACACAUGCAAGUCGAACGGAAAGGCCUGCUUUCCCUUGUGGAUUGCGGGUACUCGAGUGGCGAACGGGUGAGUAACACGUGAGUGAUCUGCCCCCAACUUGGGUAUAAGCCUGGGAAACUGGGUCUAAUUCCCGAUAGGACUGCAGGGUGGUGCCUGUGGUGGAAAACGAUUUUCUAGUGGUUGGGGAUGAGCUCGCGGCCUAUCAGCUUGUUGGUGGGGUAAUGGCCUACCAAGGCGGCGACGGGUAGCCGGCCUGAGAGGGUAGACGGACACUGGGACUGAGAUACGGCCCAGACUCCUACGGGAGGCAGCAGUGGGGAAUAUUGCACAAUGGGCGGAAGCCUGAUGCAGCGACGCCGCGUGGGGGAUGACGGCCUUCGGGUUGUAAACUCCUUUCGACCGCGAGGAAGCCACCUGGUUGGAAGGGUGGUGACGGUAGUGGUAGAAGAAGCACCGGCUAACUACGUG